GACGAACCGUGCGAACGUUGUUCGGAAUCACUGGGCUUAAAGGGCGCGUAGGCGGCUCCUCAAGUCAAGGGUGAAAUCUUUCGGCCCAACCGGAAAAGUGCCUUUGAUACUGGGGAGCUCGAGGGAGGUAGGGGCGGACGGAACUUCCGGUGGAGCGGUGAAAUGCGUUGAUAUCGGAAGGAACGCCGGUGGCGAAGGCGGUCUUCUGGACGGUGACUGACGCUGAGGCACGAAGGCCAGGGGAGCAAACGGG
This 253-nucleotide ribosomal RNA is filed under the name uncultured bacterium. RNAcentral's name for it is "partial 16S ribosomal RNA". It matches the Rfam family "Bacterial small subunit ribosomal RNA", at positions 524 to 776 of the family's 1533-position model. The record is from RNAcentral.